Molecule: ribosomal RNA, 121 nt
Filed under: Pteropus alecto (black flying fox)
Lineage: Eukaryota; Metazoa; Chordata; Mammalia; Chiroptera; Pteropodidae
Also listed under: 1 other name
Source: RNAcentral
GUCUAUGGCCAUGCUACCCUGAACAUGCUUGAUCUCGUCUGAUCUCAGAAGCUAAGCAGGGUCGGGCCUGUGGUUAGUACUUGAAUGGGAGACCACCUAGGAAGACCAGGUGCUAUAGGCA